RNAcentral lists this ribosomal RNA (494 nucleotides) under uncultured bacterium. Its description in RNAcentral is "bacterial SSU rRNA". It matches the Rfam family "Bacterial small subunit ribosomal RNA", at positions 903 to 1397 of the family's 1533-position model. The record is from RNAcentral.
AAAGGAAUAGACGGGGGCCCGCACAAGCAGCGGAGCAUGUGGUUUAAUUCGAAGCAACGCGAAGAACCUUACCAGGGCUUGACAUCCCGCGCAACACAUUGAAAGGUGUGGUUCCCUUCGGGGACGCGGAGACAGGUGGUGCAUGGUUGUCGUCAGCUCGUGUCGUGAGAUGUUGGGUUAAGUCCCGCAACGAGCGCAACCCCUACCAUUAGUUGCCAGCAGUAAGAUGGGGACUCUAAUGGGACUGCCGGGGAUAACUCGGAGGAAGGUGGGGACGACGUCAAAUCAUCAUGCCCCUUAUGUCCUGGGCUACACACGUGCUACAAUGGCCGCAACAAAGGGAAGCGAAGGAGCGAUCCGGAGCGGAUCUCAGGAAAAGCGGUCUCAGUUCGGAUUGUGGGCUGCAACCCGCCCGCAUGAAGUCGGAGUUGCUAGUAAUCGCGAAUCAGCAUGUCGCGGUGAAUACGUUCCCGGGCCUUGUACACACCGCCCGU